UGGUCUAGGAUGAACGCUGGCGGCGUGCCUAACACAUGCAAGUCGAACGGGGUUAAGUGAAAUUUCGGAUGGAGCUUAACUUAGUGGCGGACGGGUGAGUAACGCGUGGAUAACCUGCCUCACGACUGGGGGAUAGCAGCUGGAAACGGCUGGUAAUACCGCAUAAGACCACAGCACCGCAUGGUGCAGGGGUAAAAGAUUUAUCGGUGUGAGAUGGAUCCGCGUCUGAUUAGCCAGUUGGCGGGUAACGCCCACCAAAGCGACGAUCAGUAGCCGGCCUGAGAGGGUGAACGGCCACAUUGGGACUGAGACACGGCCCAAACUCCUACGGGAGGCAGCAGUGGGGAAUAUUGCACAAUGGGCGCAAGCCUGAUGCAGCAACGCCGCGUGAGUGAAGAAGUAUUUCGGUAUGUAAAGCUCUAUCGGCAGGGAAGAAAGGCCCUUAACAGGGAGAUGACGGUACCUGACUAAGAAGCCCCGGCUAACUACGUGCCAGCAGCGGC
RNAcentral lists this ribosomal RNA (503 nucleotides) under uncultured bacterium. RNAcentral's name for it is "bacterial SSU rRNA". It matches the Rfam family "Bacterial small subunit ribosomal RNA", at positions 20 to 518 of the family's 1533-position model. The record is from RNAcentral.